AUGACUUCUACAACACUCAGGGUACAUCUUAAUGAAAAUUCAGAAUGGUAUGUCAAAGUUUUUAGGGAGGAACACAAUCAUUCCCUUGUAGAAUCUUGUAGCGAGAAGAAGCACCUGCAUUCACAUCAACAUAUUGACAAGCCAAUAAGAGAUUUAAUAAACAAUCUUCGGGAGAAUAAUGUUUCACUAACGAGGGUUAAUUCUAUAGUAGCAGGUUUCUAUGGCUCAACAAAGAAAGUACCAUUCUGUAAGAGGAAGUUGCGAACUGUAUGUUCUCAGAUUGCUAGUGAAACACUUCAGGACGACAUUGCUAAGACACCGGAGAACUUCCGUGAUAUGAUAGCACUGGAUGAUAGAUUUGCUUUUUGUGCACAGGUUGAUGAUGACAACAGGCUUAAGUCACUAAUGUGGACUACUGGAAGGAGUAGAUCAUUAUAUAAUCACUUUGGAGAUGCAAUAACUUUUGACACUACUUAUGGAACAAACAUCUACAAAAUGUCAUUUGGUAUGUUUGUAGGAGUUAGUAACCACUUUGAAAGUGUAGUUUUCGCUGGAGUGUUUUUGACUAAUGAGAAGGAAGAGAAUUUAUGUUGGGCUUUUAAGCAAUUUGUUGCUAUGAUGGGAGGAAAACACCGAGUUACUAUUCUUACAGAUUAG
Molecule: ribosomal RNA, 657 nt
Filed under: Triticum aestivum (bread wheat)
Lineage: Eukaryota; Viridiplantae; Streptophyta; Magnoliopsida; Poales; Poaceae
Description: partial small subunit ribosomal RNA
Source: RNAcentral